This 255-nucleotide ribosomal RNA is filed under the name uncultured bacterium. RNAcentral's name for it is "partial 16S ribosomal RNA". It matches the Rfam family "Bacterial small subunit ribosomal RNA", at positions 524 to 777 of the family's 1533-position model. The record is from RNAcentral.
UACGAAGGGGGCUAGCGUUGUUCGGAAUCACUGGGCGUAAAGCGCACGUAGGCGGAUCUUUUAAGUCAGGGGUGAAAUCCCGAGGCUCAACCUCGGAACUGCCUUUGAUACGUGGGAUCUCGAGUCCGGGAGAGGUGAGUGGAACUGCGAGUGUAGAGGUGAAAUUCGUAGAUAUUCGCAAGAACACCAGUGGCGAAGGCGGCUCACUGGCCCGGAACUGACGCUGAGGUGCGAAAGCGUGGGGAGCAAACAGGG